RNAcentral lists this transfer RNA (73 nucleotides) under Harpegnathos saltator (Jerdon's jumping ant). It matches the Rfam family "tRNA". From Rfam's summary of the family: Transfer RNA (tRNA) molecules are approximately 80 nucleotides in length. Their secondary structure includes four short double-helical elements and three loops (D, anti-codon, and T loops). Lineage: Eukaryota; Metazoa; Arthropoda; Insecta; Hymenoptera; Formicidae. The record is from Rfam by way of RNAcentral.
CGUCAGACAGCUCAGUGGUCUAGAGCAGUCGCCUGGCAAGCGAAAGAUCCGGGUUCGAUUCCCGGUCUAGCGA